Mobula hypostoma (lesser devil ray) is the source of this 1161-nucleotide long non-coding RNA. RefSeq lists it as uncharacterized. NCBI's taxonomy places the organism in Eukaryota, Metazoa, Chordata, Chondrichthyes, Myliobatiformes, Myliobatidae. The transcript is spliced from 3 exons. The record is from RefSeq and is a predicted model, not a curated record.
AUCUCCACACCAGAGGAGUUGCAGUGCAUCAUCAUUCCCGGUACGUGGAUCCUGGUCAUGACACAACUGGGAAUAACAACGGACAGAGACGGACUGAUCCGAAUCCAGUUCGAAGGAAAAUCCGCCAGGAGUCCCUCAGAGCUGCAGAGCCAAGAUGAACCGCAGGCCGUUCGGCCCACCAGGCACAGUCUGUACGGGGAGGAACGAGGCAGAUCAGUGAAGCCUUUCUGGCUGACCUACUGAGCAGUCCCACUGUCUGGUGAAAAACGUCAACUGUCCUGACACCCAUGGGUGCAGCCUUCCAGAAUAUAACUUAAUCGAUCUACUCCCUGAACAAAUAAGAACCAAGAAACGCGAAUAAUGAAAGAAAAGGUAACGGAGGUGUGAUUCCAAGGCUGGGGUCUCUAGAUGACCCGGGGUUGAGCUAGAGGAAACGUCUAGCCAUGGGGGAGAGCCCCUCCUACCUGUGAGUCGAGGGCCCCUGCUGCAGUACCUAUAAAAAUAUUUUCGGAAGAUCUUAUACUUGAUGGAUUAGCGGGGCAACGUAUGCGUUUUUCCGAAGGAGCUGUCGAUUUAAGCUGCCAUUCUGAACGAUGCCGUCACCGGAACCCUCAGUAGUCACAGUGUCAACACCACCGGUCACCGACCCAACACCUCCGGUCACCGGGCCCCACACCACCGGUCACCGACCCAACACCUCCGGUCAACAGUCCCAUCACCUCCGGUCAACAGUCCCAUCACCACCGGUCACCGACCCAUCACCACCGGUCACCGGGCCCCACACCACCGGUCACCGGGACCCACACCACCGGUCAACAGUCCCAUCACCACCGGUCACCGACCCACCACCACCGGUCACCGGGCCCCACACCACCGGUCAACAGUCCCAUCACCACCGGUCACCGACCCACCACCACCGGUCACCGGGCCCCACACCACCGGUCACCGGGACCCACACCACCGGUCAACAGUCCCAUCACCACCGGUCACCGACCCACCACCACCGGUCACCGGGCCCCACACCACCGGUCAACAGUCCCAUCACCACCAGUCACUGACCCAUCACCACUGGUCACUGACCCACCACCACCGGUCACCGGGCCCCACACCACCGGUCAACAAUCCCAUCACCACCAGUCACCGACCCACCAUCACCGGUCA